AAUAGAUACCCGGGUAGUCCACGCCGUAAACGGUGGGCACUAGGUGUGGGCAGCAUUCCACGUUGUCCGUGCCGUAGCUAACGCAUUAAGUGCCCCGCCUGGGGAGUACGGCCGCAAGGCUAAAACUCAAAGGAAUUGACGGGGGGCCCGCACAAGCGGCGGAGCAUGUGGCUUAAUUCGACGCAACGCGAAGAACCUUACCAAGGCUUGACAUACACCGGAAAACCCUGGAGACAGGGUCCCCCUUGUGGUCGGUGUACAGGUGGUGCAUGGCUGUCGUCAGCUCGUGUCGUGAGAUGUUGGGUUAAGUCCCGCAACGAGCGCAACCCUUGUCCCGUGUUGCCAGCAGGCCCUUGUGGUGCUGGGGACUCACGGGAGACCGCCGGGGUCAACUCGGAGGAAGGUGGGGACGACGUCAAGUCAUCAUGCCCCUUAUGUCUUGGGCUGCACACGUGCUACAAUAGCCGGUACAAAGAGCUGCGAUACCGUGAGGUGGAGCGAAUCUCAAAAAGCCGGUCUCAGUUCGGAUUGGGGUCUGCAACCCGACCC
This 549-nucleotide ribosomal RNA is filed under the name uncultured bacterium. RNAcentral's name for it is "bacterial SSU rRNA". It matches the Rfam family "Bacterial small subunit ribosomal RNA", at positions 777 to 1318 of the family's 1533-position model. The record is from RNAcentral.